AUUUAAUAGUUAAAACUUUCAACAACGGAUCUCUUGGUUCUGGCAUCGAUGAAGAACGCAGCGAAAUGCGAUAAGUAAUGUGAAUUGCAGAAUUUAGUGAAUCAUCGAAUCUUUGAACGCACAUUGCGCCCAUUGGUAUUCCGAUGGGCAUGCACGUUCGAGCGUCAUUA
RNAcentral lists this ribosomal RNA (170 nucleotides) under uncultured fungus. Its description in RNAcentral is "5.8S ribosomal RNA". It matches the Rfam family "5.8S ribosomal RNA". From Rfam's summary of the family: 5.8S ribosomal RNA (5.8S rRNA) is a component of the large subunit of the eukaryotic ribosome. The record is from RNAcentral. Lineage: Eukaryota; Fungi.